RNAcentral lists this ribosomal RNA (468 nucleotides) under uncultured bacterium. RNAcentral describes it as "partial 16S ribosomal RNA". It matches the Rfam family "Bacterial small subunit ribosomal RNA", at positions 28 to 507 of the family's 1533-position model. The record is from RNAcentral.
GACGAACGCUGGCGGCGUGCUUAACACAUGCAAGUCGAACGGAAAGGCCCUGCUUUUGUGGGGUGCUCGAGUGGCGAACGGGUGAGUAACACGUGAGUAACCUGCCCUUGACUUUGGGAUAACUUCAGGAAACUGGGGCUAAUACCGGAUAGGAGCUCCUGCUGCAUGGUGGGGGUUGGAAAGUUUCGGCGGUUGGGGAUGGACUCGCGGCUUAUCAGCUUGUUGGUGGGGUAGUGGCUUACCACGGCGUUGACGGGUAGCCGGCCUGAGAGGGUGACCGGCCACAUUGGGACUGAGAUACGGCCCAGACUCCUACGGGAGGCAGCAGUGGGGAAUAUUGCACAAUGGGCGGAAGCCUGAUGCAGCAACGCCGCGUGCGGGAUGACGGCCUUCGGGGUGUAAACCGCUUUCGCCUGUGACGAAGCGUGAGUGACAGUAAUGGGUAAAGAAGCACCGGCUAACUACGUG